UUAUUCAUACAUCAAAGGCGUACAAACUAUCAGUCAUACAGAUGUGUACAGUCACUCAACAAGAUAAAUUUACCCUUAACAUACACCUAUAGAUUCAUCAAUUGUAUUCUUCUGCGCAUGGAACAAAAAUGAAAAAUGUUUCGAUUUGAAUCAAGAGCAUUUUUACAUUACUUCUCAUGUAUAAAUUGAUUUAGAAAAAUA
Long non-coding RNA from Hermetia illucens (black soldier fly), 201 nucleotides. RefSeq lists it as uncharacterized. The transcript is spliced from 2 exons. NCBI's taxonomy places the organism in Eukaryota, Metazoa, Arthropoda, Insecta, Diptera, Stratiomyidae. The record is from RefSeq and is a predicted model, not a curated record.